UUUGAAGUAGAUAUAUGUUAGAUUUUCGAUCUUAAGAUGCUUUGGCCUUAG
Molecule: transfer RNA, 51 nt
Filed under: Centruroides vittatus
Lineage: Eukaryota; Metazoa; Arthropoda; Arachnida; Scorpiones; Buthidae
Description: tRNA-Glu
Source: RNAcentral